GAGGAUAUAGCUUAGUGGUAGAGUGCGUGUUAGGCAUGCACGAGGUCCAGGGUUCAAUACCCAGAGCCUCU
This 71-nucleotide transfer RNA is filed under the name Camelus bactrianus (Bactrian camel). It matches the Rfam family "tRNA". From Rfam's summary of the family: Transfer RNA (tRNA) molecules are approximately 80 nucleotides in length. RNAcentral also lists the same sequence under 2 other names. Lineage: Eukaryota; Metazoa; Chordata; Mammalia; Artiodactyla; Camelidae. The record is from Rfam by way of RNAcentral.